UGCAAGUCGAACGAAGUAGCAAUACUUAGUGGCAGACGGGUGAGUAACAUGUGGGUAUCUACCCUUUGGCCUGGAAUAACACGAGGAAACUUGUGCUAAUACCGGAUAAGUCUUUACGGAGAAAGCUUUAUGCACCAUUGGAUGAGCCUGCACUUGAUUAGUUUGUUGGUGGGGUAAUGGCCUACCAAGACUGUGAUCAAUAGCUGAUUUGAGAGGAUGAUCAGCCACAUUGGGACUGAGACACGGCCCAAACUCCUACGGGAGGCAGCAGUGGGGAAUCUUGCACAAUGGAGGAAACUCUGAUGCAGCGAUGCCGCGUGAGUGAAGAAGGCCUUUGGGUUGUAAAGCUCUUUCGUCGGGGAAGAAAAUGACUGUACCCGAAUAAGAAGGUCCGGCUAACUUCGUGCCAGCAGCCGCGGUAAUACGAAGGGACCUAGCGUAGUUCGGAAUUACUGGGCUUAAAGAGUUCGUAGGUGGUUGAAAAAGUUAGUGGUGAAAUCCCAGAGCUUAACUCUGGAACUGCCAUUAAAACUUUUCAGCUAGAGUAUGAUAGAGGAAAGCAGAAUUUCUAGUGUAGAGGUGAAAUUCGUAGAUAUUAGAAAGAAUACCAAUUGCGAAGGCAGCUUACUGGAUCAUUACUGACACUGAGGAACGAAAGCAUGGGUAGCGAAGAGGAUUAGAUACCCUCGUAGUCCAUGCCGUAAACGAUGUGUGUUAGACGUUGGAAAUUUAUUUUCAGUGUCGCAGCGAAAGCGAUAAACACACCGCCUGGGGAGUACGACCGCAAGGUUAAAACUCAAAUGAAUUGACGGGG
This 814-nucleotide ribosomal RNA is filed under the name uncultured Pseudomonadota bacterium. RNAcentral describes it as "bacterial SSU rRNA". It matches the Rfam family "Bacterial small subunit ribosomal RNA", at positions 56 to 918 of the family's 1533-position model. The record is from RNAcentral. Lineage: Bacteria; Pseudomonadati; Pseudomonadota.